Long non-coding RNA from Alligator mississippiensis (American alligator), 4618 nucleotides. RefSeq lists it as uncharacterized. NCBI's taxonomy places the organism in Eukaryota, Metazoa, Chordata, Crocodylia, Alligatoridae. The record is from RefSeq and is a predicted model, not a curated record. The transcript has 6 exons.
CAGGGCUCCCCCCACGGCCCCCGGCGCCGCAGGGGUGUCGCGCACAUACGGGCAGGGGCUGGGCCCCGGGGCCACCUCAGCUACAGCAGCAGCGGCCCGCGGGGGCGGCCACCGCCGGGAAGGCGGAGAUGAGCCCCGAUGCCUGCUGGGCAGGGGUGCCUGGUGGGGUGCAACAGAGAGAAGGAAGGAAAGCCCUCGGCCCUUCAGGUCUCACUCACGGUCAGUCAAAGAGAGGCAGAGGUCAUCUACUCCACACCCCUGUCUCAGGCAGCAGCAUCCCAGGGUGACCCUACUGGGCCUGCUCAGAUCAUACAAACAGCAUUUGCCCUCCAAGAUCCCCAUGUGUUCAGCAGUGCAGCAGGUAUAACGGCUGGGGUGAGGAAUGUGGCACACUUUCACCCAUGAAGAGGCGCAAGAGAGUUACAGAGGACACCCACAUCCCUGCAGAUGCCACAUGCAAAGCCAGCCAUCUGGAUGACAAGAGCCUGAAACGGAGAGCUUCCUCUCUGUUCUUGAAAAUGGGAGUGAGUGUCUCAUCAGACUCCGUGAGACCACUUGUCCUCACUUCUAAAUCCCCAUUUCUCCAGGACCCAAGUAGGUGACAGACAUUUGUGGCUCUGUUCACAGCACCUCUGAAAGGCAUUCCCACUGGAUGGUCCUACUCUGGGUUCUGCUCCAGCUGGUGUGAUACCAGAGGCCACAUUAGGCGAUCACAGUGACCCUCCUGGCCGUAUCAUCUAGGAAUCUAUGGAUUUUCAGAUGAGCUCAGCACAUCAGCGUACAACAGCACAGCUAGGAGAAGAUACUUCAGAAGAAUGAAAGGACACACAACUGCACUCACAGCUGUACGCACAACUGCACCCACAACUACCACCAGGCAGGCUGCAAGCAACAGCAACCAGAGGAGAAGACAUUGGGCCACGGUCCAAGGAGGCAAGAAUGCAUCUAUGAGGUGAAUUGGCAUCUCAGAUGGUGGUGUCGCCAAGAAGGCUUCGGCUUCUAUGACCACGACACCCACUUCAAGGACAGAGGACUCUUGGGGAGAGACGGUAUCCACCUCACACAGAAAGAGACCGCGUGUGCAUGGGACAUGGUUGUCAUGGACGAAUUCAACUACCCCAACAUCUCCUGGGAGAAGUGCUCAGCCAGCUCGGAUUGAUCACGAUCCUUCCUGACCAGCACCAAAGAAUUUUGACUCGGGAGGUGCACAGGCCAACUAGAGGCAAUGUAGUUCUUGACUUGGUCCUGGCCAAAGGGGAUGACCUGAUUACCAACUUAAACACAGAGGGCAGCCUAGGCUAUAUGACCAUGAAAUCAUUAUUUUCAUGGUCCAUUGCAAGGCUGACAAAACAGAUACCAAUCUUGAAGUCUUAGACUUCAAAAAAGCAAAUUUUAAUACGCUCAGGUCACUAGUAGAGAAUGCCCUGAGAGACCAAGAACCACAGGUAAAGGGAACAUGAGAAGAAUGGUUGUUCCUUAAGGAUACAAUCCUUAAGGCUCAGAAAAUCCAUUCCCUUAUGGAGAAAAAGUAGCAACAGGGUCAAAAAACCCUCUUGGCUAAGCAGGGAAGUUGCAGCCCUCCUACAGAAAAAGAAAGGGGCAUACAAACAAUGGAAGCUUGGAACAGCCUCUAAGGAAGACUACUUGACAAUGGCCUGCACUUGUGGAAAGCAGAUUAGGCAAGCUGAGGCAGAAACCGAAAUAAACUAGCUACAAGAAUCAAGGACAAGAAGAAGUCCUUCUUUAGCUAUAUGGGGAGUAAAAGGAAAACUAAUGGGAGUGUGGGACUAUUGCUCAAUGCCUCAGGAUACCUGAUCACUACCACUCGGGAAAAAAUUACUACUAAAUUACUACUUUGCCUUGGUCUUUCACAAGACCAAGGGGAACAACAUGCCAGGUAGGGCACAGAACGAGCAGGGCAGGAUUGACGCCAUUCCCACCAUUGCCAUAGAACUGGUGUACAAUCAAUUAAAGAAAUUAGACUUGUAUAAAUCAGCAGGACCAGAUGAACUCCACCCAAGAGUUGGCCGAAGUAAUCGCAGAGCCCUUGGCAAAGGUCUUUCAAAAAUCAUGGGCCUCUAGAGAAAUCCCAGAGGACUAGAAGAGGGCCAAUGUUGUGCCCAUCUUCAAGAAGGGGAAGCAUGAAGACCCGGGAAACUACAGGCUAAUUAGCUUAACUUCUAUUCCAGGGAAAAUCCUAGAGACAUUCAUCAAAGAGGCUAUAUGUGACAAACUUGCAGAAGACAUGAUACUGAAUGACAGCCAGCACGGCUUUGUCGCAGGCAGGUCUUGUCUGACCAACCUCAUUUCUUUCUAUGAUCAGAUGACUCAUCACCUGGAUGAGAGAGAAGUGGUUGACUUCAUAUACCUCAACUUCCAGAAGGCCUUUGACCUGGUAUCCCAUGAGGUACUGGUCAGAAAACUGGAGAAUAUCGGGCUCAACUGAGGGACUGUCAAGUGGGUGCAAAACUGGUUGCGGGGUAGGACACCGAGUCCAAAUGAAUGGAUUGGUGUUGUCCUGGUGAGAUGUGGGCAGCAGCAUACCCUAAGGGUCAGUACUUGGCCCAGUGCUGUUCAAUAUCUUCAUCAACAACCUGGAUGAGGGAGUGAAAAGCUCAUUGGCCAGGUUCGCAGACAACACCAAGAUAUAGGGUUGUGCAAACACACCUGCAGAUACAAGCAGACCUAGACAGACUGGCAUGUUGGUCAGACUGGAACCAGAUGAGGUUCAACAUAGAGAAAUACAAAGUGCUGCAUUUGGGAAGGAAGAACCCCCAGCACACCUACAGGCUGGGCAUCGCUAACCUGACUGGCACUACAAAUGAAAGGGAUCUGGGGGUAACAAUAGACCCCAGGAUGAAUAUGAGCCGGCAAUGCGAUGCAGCAGCCGCUAGGGCCAAUAAAACUCUGGCAUACAUCAAUCGAUGCAUCUCCAGUAAAUCCAAAGAAGUGAUUCUCCUGCUAUACUCAACAUUGGUGUGGCCACAGCUGGAGUAUUGCAUCCAGUUCUGGGCGCUGCACUUCAACAAGGACGUGCCAAGGCUUGAGAGGGUCCAGAGAAGGGCCACCUGCAUGAUCAGGGACUUGCUUGCCAAGCCAUACAAGGAGAGGUGAGGGAUUUCAGACUCUUCAGCCUAAAGAAAAGAAGGCUGAGAGGGGACCUGAUUGCGGCUUACCGCUAUACCAGAGGCAUACAUCAGGGGCUCAGUGAACAGCUGUUCACCAGGGUGCCCUGAGGGAAAACUAGAAACAACAGCCCCAAACUUCUGGAAGAUAGUUUCAGGCUGAACAUUAGGAAAAACUUCUUUACAACUAGGGUGUCCAGACUAUGGAACUAGCUCCCCCCAGAGGUAGUGCAAUCAUCUACCCUAGAGGUCUUCAAGAGAAGACUGGACAGUCACCUGGCUGGGGUUAUCUGACCCCAGAUGUCUUUCCUGCUUAUGCAGGGGGCUGGACCUGAUGAUCCUUUGGGGUCCCUUCCAGCCCUAUGAACAACCUGCCCAAGCCAGUUCUCUCCCCAAGCUUUACCUCAGUCUGCAGCAGAUGUGUGCACUGGGCCAGGACUUUGAGCACCAGCAAUGUGCACAAGCAGCUUGUUUUAGACAGUGUCAUGCCUCUUGGGCUUCUAGGCCUCUGGCUGCUAUGGUCCUGCCAACUUGGACAGCAGCAUAAAUAAUAGCAAAACUUGGUGGCAUAUAGAAAUGGAUGAGUUUUGUGUUUGCUUAAACUUAAAAGCCCCAACAUGCUACGUGCACAGCAUGGACAUGAUGCCUGCUUAUCAGUGACAUGGGAGCACAGGACCCUCACAGAAAGAGCCUAAACUGCAAGGUGAUCCCACACAGAGAGGCAAUACUGAAUUUAUCAUAUGAGGGGCUAUUUAUAAGGGAAGAGGGACAGAAUCCUGCUGUGUGUGUGUGUGUGUGUGUGUGUGUGUGUGUACGCACAUGUACAUGCACAUCUGCCCCCUUUGUAUAUGUCAGUUUCUUCAUAUAAUGCCUCAGACCGAGCCCAGGGUACCCCUCCAAUAACAGUAAGUGCAGAUGUGAGAGGCAGCAUUCUUGCUUGACAACCUGAAUACAUUUAAAAACUGCAACAAUAAAAUUAAAAACACAAGUUCAACCCUAAGUUACAAGCUGUAAAACAAUAUUAAAAAGACACACUGAGAUUUAGGAGCAUAUUCAUUAAUUUACUACACAAGGACAGCUGCGUUUUCUUUUUCUCUGGCACAAAAUGGGGAGACAGCCACGAGAUCAAAAUGGCUCAACCCCAAAGGGACAACUUGAGUUUUGGAGUCGGAGGAGUCAAAAGCACCUGCCCCAGGAGGUGGGUUGACCCUUUCAUUCUUAAGAGGACAGGAUAUGUUAUAAGAAUAGAAUUAAUGCACCAGCCAGCUAGGCACAAGCCUAGGGGCCCCUACCAAUUUAGGGCCGUGGCCCCAGGAUCCUCAUCAGCAGGGAAGUGGAAACAGCAGUUUUAAACUCGGAGCCAAUCUUUAGUGCCCAAUUUAAAACUGUGGUUUUCACACUUACUUCCCAGGGAGCUGGAAGUGGGGCUUGUCCACCAAUGGGGCUGAGGAGAGGGGUGGCAGGGCUGGGGUCUGGCCGGGAGAGCCACGCUG